UGCCAGCAGCCGCGGUAACACGUAAGGUGCGAGCGUUGUUCGGAAUUAUUGGGCGUAAAGCGCGUGUAGGCGGUUCGUUUAGUCCGAUGUGAAAGCCCUGGGCUCAACCCCGGAAGUGCAUUGGAAACUGGCGAACUUGAGUACGGGAGAGGAAAGUGGAAUUCCGAGUGUAGGAGUGAAAUCCGUAGAUAUUCGGAGGAACACCAGUGGCGAAGGCGGCUUUCUGGCUCGAUACUGACGCUGAGGUGCGAAAGCGUGGGGAGCAAACAGGAUUAGAUA
RNAcentral lists this ribosomal RNA (279 nucleotides) under uncultured bacterium. Its description in RNAcentral is "partial 16S ribosomal RNA". It matches the Rfam family "Bacterial small subunit ribosomal RNA", at positions 506 to 784 of the family's 1533-position model. The record is from RNAcentral.